Molecule: ribosomal RNA, 560 nt
Filed under: uncultured Glomus
Lineage: Eukaryota; Fungi; Glomeromycota; Glomeromycetes; Glomerales; Glomeraceae
Description: eukaryotic LSU rRNA
Rfam family: 5.8S ribosomal RNA (bases 156-309)
Source: RNAcentral
GGAAGUAAAAGUCGUAACAAGGUUUCCGUAGGUGAACCUGCGGAAGGAUCAUUACUGAUUUAGCGAACCGAGCGUUAGCGAGGUUUUGCGAUCAACUUGUAUUUAAAACCCACUCUUCAAUGUAUAAAAUUUGUAUUAAUGAUAAAUUAAAAGAUCACUUUCAACAACGGAUCUCUUGGCUCUCGCAUCGAUGAAGAACGUAGCGAAGUGCGAUAAGUAAUGUGAAUUGCAGAAUUCCGUGAAUCAUCGAAUCUUUGAACGCAUAUUGCACUUUCUGGUAUUCCGGAAAGUAUGCCUGUUUGAGGGUCAGUUAAAUAAAAAUCGGUGUUGUUGCUGCCUUUCGUGGUGACGCGUCGGAAUUGAGUUGUCUUACCUUCGGUUAAGUGACUUAAAAUUUUGUAUGAUUUUUGAACGUAUUUAAAUUUUAUUUGUACGUUUGAGAUAUCGAAUGUUUAUUAGGUUCGGUCAUUCUAAUGACCCGCGCCUAUAGUUUUUUCAUUAAAUGACCUCAAAUCAGGUAAGAAUACCCGCUGAACUUAAGCAUAUCAAUAAGCGGAGGA